CGACUUGGAGGUUGUUCCCUUGAGGAGUAGCUUCCGGAGCUAACGCGUUAAGUCGACCGCCUGGGGAGUACGGCCGCAAGGUUAAAACUCAAAUGAAUUGACGGGGGCCCGCACAAGCGGUGGAGCAUGUGGUUUAAUUCGAUGCAACGCGAAGAACCUUACCUACUCUUGACAUCCAGAGAACUUUCCAGAGAUGGAUUGGUGCCUUCGGGAACUCUGAGACAGGUGCUGCAUGGCUGUCGUCAGCUCGUGUUGUGAAAUGUUGGGUUAAGUCCCGCAACGAGCGCAACCCUUAUCCUUUGUUGCCAGCGAUUCGGUCGGGAACUCGAAGGAGACUGCCGGUGAUAAACCGGAGGAAGGUGGGGAUGACGUCAAGUCAUCAUGGCCCUUACGAGUAGGGCUACACACGUGCUACAAUGGCGCAUACAAAGAGAAGCGACCUCGCGAGAGCAAGCGGACCUCACAAAGUGCGUCGUAGUCCGGAUCGGAGUCUGCAACUCGACUCCGUGAAGUCGGAAUCGCUAGUAAUCGUGGAUCAGAAUGCCACGGUGAAUACGUUCCCGGGCCUUGUACACACCGCCCGUCACACCAUGGGAGUGGGUUGCAAAAGAAGUAGGUAGCUUAACCUUCGGGAGGGCGCUUACCACUUUGUGACCGAUGACUGGGGUGAAGUCGUAACAAGGUAAC
Molecule: ribosomal RNA, 687 nt
Filed under: uncultured bacterium
Lineage: Bacteria
Description: bacterial SSU rRNA
Rfam family: Bacterial small subunit ribosomal RNA
Source: RNAcentral